GGUUCUAUAGUGUAGUGGUUAUCACUCGAGAUUUUGAUAUUAAACAAUUUCUCGGAACCCCGGUUCGAUCCCGGGUAGGACCU
This is a non-coding RNA of Crucibulum laeve, 83 nucleotides long. Lineage: Eukaryota; Fungi; Basidiomycota; Agaricomycetes; Agaricales; Nidulariaceae. The record is from the annotation of a GenBank genome assembly.